CCUACGGGAGGCAGCAGUGGGGAAUAUUGGACAAUGGGCGAAAGCCUGAUCCAGCAAUUCCGCGUGUGUGAAGAAGGCCUUCGGGUUGUAAAGCACUUUAGUGGGGGAAGAAACAGCUUGGCCACACCAAGCCUUGACGGUACCCCAAGAAUAAGCACCGGCUAACUCUGUGCCAGCAGCCGCGGUAAUACAGAGGGUGCAAGCGUUAAUCGGAUUUACUGGGCGUAAAGGGUGCGUAGGUGGCUAUUUAAGUCGGAUGUGAAAGCCCGGGGCUCAACCUCGGAAUUGCAUUCGAUACUGAGUGGCUAGAGUUCGGUAGAGGGCGGCGGAAUUUCCGGUGUAGCGGUGAAAUGCGUAGAUAUCGGAAGGAACAUCAAUGGCGAAGGCAGCCGCCUGGGCCUGGACUGACACUGAGGCACGAAAGCGUGGGUAGCAAACAGGAUUAGAUACCCUGGUAGUCCACGCCGUAAACGAUGAGAACUUGACGUUGGUUCGUUUUACGAAUCGGUGUCGCAGCUACGACGAUAAGUUACUCCGCCGUCGGGGAGGUACGGCCGGCCGAGGUUAGGUAAACGUACAAAUAGAAGUUAGUACGGCGUGAGACGUGCCGAACGGACGACGACGAGGGAGGUAGG
RNAcentral lists this ribosomal RNA (635 nucleotides) under uncultured bacterium. RNAcentral's name for it is "partial 16S ribosomal RNA". The stretch from base 1 to 539 matches the Rfam family "Bacterial small subunit ribosomal RNA", at positions 338 to 873 of the family's 1533-position model. The record is from RNAcentral.